UUUAACUGAAGAGUUUGAUCAUGGCUCAGAUUGAACGCUGGCGGCAGGCUUAACACAUGCAAGUCGAGCGGGGGAAGGUAGCUUGCUACUGGACCUAGCGGCGGACGGGUGAGUAAUGCUUAGGAAUCUGCCUAUUAGUGGGGGACAACAUCUCGAAAGGGAUGCUAAUACCGCAUACGUCCUACGGGAGAAAGCAGGGGAUCUUCGGACCUUGCGCUAAUAGAUGAGCCUAAGUCGGAUUAGCUAGUUGGUGGGGUAAAGGCCUACCAAGGCGACGAUCUGUAGCGGGUCUGAG
This 295-nucleotide ribosomal RNA is filed under the name Acinetobacter baumannii. RNAcentral describes it as "partial 16S ribosomal RNA". It matches the Rfam family "Bacterial small subunit ribosomal RNA", at positions 1 to 296 of the family's 1533-position model. The record is from RNAcentral. Lineage: Bacteria; Pseudomonadati; Pseudomonadota; Gammaproteobacteria; Moraxellales; Moraxellaceae.